GAGCGUGUUUGACUCUGUAAGUCUCUGAUUUCGUUGGGGUCAGCCGGUUUUGACAUGGUAGGGGUCACAGGUUCAAUCCCUGUUGCGCCCACCA
This 94-nucleotide transfer RNA is filed under the name Gluconobacter roseus NBRC 3990. Its description in RNAcentral is "tRNA-Asn". Lineage: Bacteria; Pseudomonadati; Pseudomonadota; Alphaproteobacteria; Acetobacterales; Acetobacteraceae. The record is from RNAcentral.